Non-coding RNA from Nicotiana tabacum (common tobacco), 1895 nucleotides. The record is from RefSeq and is a predicted model, not a curated record. NCBI's taxonomy places the organism in Eukaryota, Viridiplantae, Streptophyta, Magnoliopsida, Solanales, Solanaceae.
AAUUUUAGUAUUUCCCCCUCAUUAUUUUGAGACUCCCUCCAGAAUUCCCCAAAUGACUAUCUGCUCGGUUAUGAAACUUACCCUUUCCCUCCCAAAAAUUAUCCUUUCCUUCCAGAUCCCUCCAUCCUUUCCCUCCAAAAUUUUUUGUUAAAACUCACGCUUACCCCAAUUUCACGAUUCAUUUUUCUUGAAGGUAAAACUCACUCUUAUCCACCAUUCCUCUGUUUUAGGUAAAACAAUUGGAACUGAGGCAUGAAAUUGAUAAGAAUCGAGGUUCAAAUCAGCCGAGAGACCAAAAACUACCGGUGAAACUAUUGGGAUCGACGUUGACAGUAAAACAUUUGAUAGCCAUGCCAAUUGAUAAAUAUUGGAUCAGCAAACCACGAAACACACCUGAAUAUAUAGAUGGUCUAAGACAAUUUUUGGAUUUUUGCUUUUGAGCACGGGUUAGUUGGAAGCAUCUUAAUAUAUUUUCGUUUCAAAUUAGUUUAGAUUAUAGCUAUGUCCUUUUUUGUUCUUAACUUGCUUUAUGUUCUUGCAUCUAGCUACUUUCUUUCAUUAAUUAAGCUUUAAGUUAUUUUUAUCUUGAAAUUUAAACUGAUUUCGUAUCAAGGUUUUCUUGUUUUGCUUUAUAUACCUUUAUGUAUGUAGAGAUGCCGAAGCAAAAUAGGGUUAAAAAUUAAUUCAAAUCAGUCAAAGAGAGAUCUUCACUUGUUCCGAGGCAGUCAUCACAGGCUCAAGCUUCAUCUUCAACAUCUUAUCGAGUCUCUUUACAUUCUACACUGCCUACACAACCCACACAGCCUGUUAUUCCAGUUGAUGGAGUCUCUUCGCAGCACAGUGUUCCAUCUUCAUCAUCUAAUGGAGUCUCUUCGCAGCAUGUUGUAUCAUUUUCAUCAUCUGAUGGGGUAUCUUCUCAGCCCGCCAUUCCAUCUUCAUCAUCUGGUGCAGUUUCUUCACGACAAACUGGACGUAGUACUAGCAAUGAAGAGCCUCAUUGGUUUGUUGAUGUUAUAGGUACAUAUGAAUUUCAAGUGAUUGAGUAUUCUUUCUCCUUGUUCUCCAGUUAUCUAUCAAUACCUUCUCCUUGUUCUCCAGUUAUCUAUCCUUGAGAUCCUCCUCCUCUUUAGUUGAAGUUUCCAACAAUGACUUAGUUUUCUCAAAUUCAGCCAAGAAAUUUUGACAACCGGUUAUUCUCUGAGAGUAAUCUCUCCAGCUAUACAUGAUGGUUGGGAAGUCAAACUUAAGUUCCAAUAUUUGCUUGGCUUCUUCAUCUGCAAAUAAUGAGAGGUUGCCAACAAGUACGGCCUGAUGCACUUGGCAUAGUAUUCAGUCCCGAGCACCUCGGCUGUGUUCGAGGUUUAGGCUUGGGUGUAGUUCCAACCGUAGCAUUCAAACAGACAUAUGUGAGAUACUGUCGUGGUUAUGUGUGUUCAUCUAGCACUACCGCUCCAACUCCGGAGUGGCAGCAAGAGAUGACAGAUGUGAAAUCAAAAUUAAAUGCACUGAUUAGCUUAUAUGAAAGGAACAUAGGGAAUAUCCCGAGGAGUUUGCUCACUUAUUUUCCACUCCUCCACAGGCACCAGAUUUAGGAAGUGAUGCACCAUCAACAGUUGAACCAAGAAGAUCUUUAGAUGAAAGUAAGAAGAUCUUUAGAUGAAAGUAACAAUGAUGAUCGUCCAAAUGUGAAUUAGUGAUUAUUCUAUAGGAUCAACUAUGGAUCUUUUGGAUAUGACUGUGAAAAUACACUUUGAAGCAUUAAUAUUUGGAUGAAGUAAUUUUGUUAUACUUGUGUAAGUGUGAAUUUGUGAUUAUUUUGUAGGAUCAACAAUGAAUCUUUUGGAUAUUUCUGUUGAAAUACUUUGAAGCAUUAAUAUUUGGAUGAUGCAAUUUUA